UUCUUUAUUACUUAAAUGCUAAUCUAUCACACCUAACAUAUACAAAUGCACAAUUAAUAAACAAAAUGGUUUCAAAUCUAUCUCAUAUUUAUAAAGAAUGCUUAUUCCACCCAAACAGAGUCUCCACAUGACCAAGAACAAGGUCUAUAAAACUAUACCAUGUUUCAGAAGACAGGUCAGACCCAGGAACAUUAAAAAUUUGGUUAAUUCUAUUUUAGCAGAGCCGCAUGAUAGAUGGCACUUUUAUGCUGUAACCUAAUAAAAUAUCCUCUUUUGUCUCUCCCACUAGAAGAAUAUUAUACUUUAAACUAGAUCUAAUUAAAAAUAGCAGGGAACGAGGUUUGUAUCAAAGAGUAGUCUCUGCGCAGAUGGUGUUCCCCACACAACACCAGACUGUACCUACAGCUGAGAAGAGGUCCCCAUGCCUGGCAGCUUCCCACUCAUGCCCUCAGGACGGAGGUGAUUAAUGGACUCUGUCUAAUGGUAAAGUAAAUGAAUAAGCAACGCUAAGUUCCUCAUCUGAAACACCAGAAAGUUUGGUUUCAAACAGGUGUCCAGGCUUCAGAAAGCUCUGCACAGAACAAUGCCACUAGCAUUUCUCAAAAGCCCUCAGCCCUUUGGCAGGCCAGCGGGAAGAGCACCCUGCGCAUCGCGUCCUUCCAGGCUCUGUCUGCGAGACCGCAGUGAAGACCCUGCCUAGAGAGGGUUGGGAAUGCCAGCCUGCAUCGAUGUGGAGCACACACCGUGCCAGCCUACGCAGCUCCCAUGGGGGCACAGAGGCUGCAGGAGACUUGCAGCUAGUUCAGAGCAAGAUCAGCAUGGCACUGACAAGAAGAAACAAGAUUUGCAGGGAAGGAACUGGCAGCAUUGUACACUCCUUGCAGCAACAACUCCCUUCUGCAGCUCCCAGGAUGAGGGGAUUCAAAAGGCACGUGGCACAGGAGACCCCGGGGCAAGGCCCUUCUUCACCAGUCACCUGGAGGACACAAACAUGUAUACUAUCCUAUUGUGACAGUUAAGCAGUCAGGAAACUCAAAACAA
This 1041-nucleotide long non-coding RNA is filed under the name Cyanistes caeruleus (blue tit). Its description in RNAcentral is "lncRNA (ENSCCEG00000009895.1)". The record is from RNAcentral. Lineage: Eukaryota; Metazoa; Chordata; Aves; Passeriformes; Paridae.